This 497-nucleotide ribosomal RNA is filed under the name uncultured bacterium. RNAcentral describes it as "partial 16S ribosomal RNA". It matches the Rfam family "Bacterial small subunit ribosomal RNA", at positions 28 to 507 of the family's 1533-position model. The record is from RNAcentral.
GAUGAACGCUGGCGGCGUGCCUAAUACAUGCAAGUCGAGCGGAAGGACGAUAAUUUUGCUUCUCUGUUGUUAGCGGCGGAGGGGUGAGUAACACGUGUAUAACCUACCUGUAAUACUGGUAUAAUUUCGGGAAACCGGAUCUAAUCCCGUAUAAGAUUUUGAACCGCAUGGUUCAAAAGUGAAAGACGGUGUUUCUGUCACUAAUAGAUGGAUCCCCGCUGCAUUAGCUAGUUGUUAAGGUAACGGCUUACCAAGGCAACGAUGCAUAUACGAGGUGAGGGGGUGAUAGGCCACCCUGGAACUGAGCCACGGUCAAGACUACUAAGGGAGGCAGCAGUAGGGAAUCUUCCGCAAUGGGCGAAAGCAUGACGGAGCAACGCGGAGUGAGUGAUGACAGUCUUCGGAUUGUAAAACUGUGUUAUUAGGGAAGAACAUAUGUGUAAGUAACUGUGCCCAUCUUGACGGUAACUAAUAAGAAAGCAACGGCUAACUACGUG